This 1869-nucleotide unclassified non-coding RNA is filed under the name Hevea brasiliensis (rubber tree). Lineage: Eukaryota; Viridiplantae; Streptophyta; Magnoliopsida; Malpighiales; Euphorbiaceae. The record is from RNAcentral.
UUUUCCACCAAUAAGUCCAAAUUACAGGACAAGUCAAACUUGAUCACCUGCUACAAUUUAGUGAUAUAAUGGAUGACCAUGUGUUGUUUGGAUACUUGUAGUUGCAGAUUUGAGCUCCAUAAAAAACCCAACAAUUUGAGGCUUUGCAUAAAACUGUUCAUAGAUUGCUAAAGCUUCUUAAAAUCCAAUUACUUGUGCAAAGGAAAGAAAGAAAGUAUGGCUCUGGGAGAGAUAUUUCUUGCAACUUUCCUUGAGGUGUUAUUUGACAGAUUGGCGUCUGUCGAACUGUUGAAAUUUGCCCGCAUAGGUGGAAUUAAGAAGAAACUGCAGAAGUGGCUCCAAAUGCUGUUAGCAAUUCAAGCAGUGCUUGAGGAUGCAGAGGAGAAGCAACUAACUGAUAAAGCUGUCAAACUGUGGUUAGAUAAUCUCAGGGACUUGGCCUAUGAUGUGGAGGAUAUGCUAGAUGAGUUUGCAGUUGAAGCUAUGAGAUGCAUAUUGAAGGUAUCAGGUGAGGCGAGUACAAAUCAGGUACAGAAACUUGUCUCUGCUUGUUGUACCACUUACAGUGCAAAGGCUGUCAAGUUUAGUCUUAGAAUCAGAUCCAAGAUGGAGAGUAUAACUGGAAGACUAGCUGAUAUUUCAAAACAAAAGAUCCGACUUGGUUUAGCAAAAAUCCCAGUAGGGCAAUCUUCUAAUAUAUGGCAGAGACUACCUAGUACAUCUGUGCCAACAGAAACUCAAGUUUAUGGCAGGGACAAAGACAAAGAGAAGAUGCUCGAUUUGUUGUUAAGGGAUGAAUCAAGUGAUGUCAAUUUUCAAGUUGUUUCUAUAGUUGGUAUGGGUGGGGUGGGAAAAACAACACUUGUUCAGCUUCUAUACAAUGAUGAUGCAGUAGGACACUUUAAUCCAAAAGCUUGGGUUUGUGUAUCCGAGGAGUUUGAUGUUUUGAGGAUAACCAGGACAAUUCUUGAGUCAGUCACUUCGUUGCCUUGCGAUCUAAAGGACUUCAAUCAAAUUCAAGUUAGACUGAAAGACGCUUUAGCUGGGAGAAAAUUUUUGAUCGUUUUAGAUGAUGUUUGGAACAAGAACUAUGGUGAGUGGAAUAGGCUGCAGCCACCAUUUCGAGCUGGAGCACCCGGAAGUAAAAUAAUUGUAACAACACGGGACAGCAAUGUUGCUUUACUAAUGGGAGCCACUAAAUUUCACUACUUGGAGCAAAUGUCAAAUGAUGAUUGUUGGUCAGUAUUUGCGCAGCAUGCAUUUGAGAAUAAAGACCUUGCUGCACAACCAAAUCUGGAAAUAAUUGGCAGAAAAAUUGUUAAGAAGUGUAAAGGAUUGCCUUUGGCAGCAAGAACUCUUGGAGGCCUGUUCUGAGGUUGAGCUACUACCAUCUCCCUUCUCACUUGAAGAGGUGCUUUUCCUUCUGUUCAGUUCUCCCAAAGGACUAUGAAUUUGAACAGAAGGAGCUGGUCUUGUUAUGGAUGGCAGAAGGUUUGGUUCAACAACCUGAAGAAAAUAAGCAAAAAGAAGACAUAGGUGGCGAAUACUUCUGUGAGCUAUUGUCAAGAUCAUUAUUUCAACGAUCAAGUAGGGAUCAAUCAAAAUUUGUGAUGCAUGACCUCAUCAGUGAUCUAGCUCAAUGGGUUGCAGGAGACAUAUGCUUUAUGCUGGAGGAUAAAGUGGAUGGUAGCAAGAUGAAAAUUUCCCCAAAGGCUCGCUAUUCAUCUUACAUUUGUGGCCAAUAUGAUGACUUAAAAAAAUUUGAGGCCUUCUCUGAUGCCAAAGGUUUGAGAACCUUCUUGCCAUUUUUGUCGCCUUAUCCUGGAAAAUGCUAUCUCACCAACUAUGUUCCUUCUGAUUUGUUGCCAA